GAUGAACGCUAGCGGCAUGCCUUACACAUGCAAGUCGAACGGCAGCACGGGAGCAAUCCUGGUGGCGAGUGGCGAACGGGUGAGUAAUAUAUCGGAACGUGCCCAGUCGUGGGGAUAACGUAGCGAAAGCUACGCUAAUACCGCAUACGAUCUAAGGAUGAAAGCGGGGGACUCGCAAGAGCCUCGCGCGAUUGGAGCGGCCGAUAUCAGAUUAGGUAGUUGGUGGGGUAAAGGCUCACCAAGCCAACGAUCUGUAGCUGGUCUGAGAGGACGACCAGCCACACUGGAACUGAGACACGGUCCAGACUCCUACGGGAGGCAGCAGUGGGGAAUUUUGGACAAUGGGCGCAAGCCUGAUCCAGCAAUGCCGCGUGCAGGAUGAAGGCCUU
RNAcentral lists this ribosomal RNA (389 nucleotides) under uncultured bacterium. RNAcentral's name for it is "bacterial SSU rRNA". It matches the Rfam family "Bacterial small subunit ribosomal RNA", at positions 28 to 418 of the family's 1533-position model. The record is from RNAcentral.